This 467-nucleotide ribosomal RNA is filed under the name uncultured bacterium. Its description in RNAcentral is "partial 16S ribosomal RNA". It matches the Rfam family "Bacterial small subunit ribosomal RNA", at positions 28 to 506 of the family's 1533-position model. The record is from RNAcentral.
GUCGAACGCUGGCGGCGUGCUUAACACAUGCAAGUCGAACGGAAAGGCCCUGCUUUUGUGGGGUGCUCGAGUGGCGAACGGGUGAGUAACACGUGAGUAACCUGCCCUUGACUUUGGGAUAACUUCAGGAAACUGGGGCUAAUACCGGAUAGGAGCUCCUGCUGCAUGGUGGGGGUUGGAAAGUUUCGGCGGUUGGGGAUGGACUCGCGGCUUAUCAGCUUGUUGGUGGGGUAGUGGCUUACCAAGGCUUUGACGGGUAGCCGGCCUGAGAGGGUGACCGGCCACAUUGGGACUGAGAUACGGCCCAGACUCCUACGGGAGGCAGCAGUGGGGAAUAUUGCACAAUGGGCGGAAGCCUGAUGCAGCAACGCCGCGUGCGGGAUGACGGCCUUCGGGUUGUAAACCGCUUUCGCCUGUGACGAAGCGUGAGUGACGGUAAUGGGUAAAGAAGCACCGGCUAACUACGU